GGGGUUGUGGCUCAGUGGUAGAGUGCUUGCCUCUUACGUGAGAGGCACUGGGUUCAAUUCUCAGCACCA
This 69-nucleotide transfer RNA is filed under the name Ictidomys tridecemlineatus (thirteen-lined ground squirrel). RNAcentral's name for it is "Spermophilus tridecemlineatus (thirteen-lined ground squirrel) tRNA". It matches the Rfam family "tRNA". From Rfam's summary of the family: Transfer RNA (tRNA) molecules are approximately 80 nucleotides in length. Their secondary structure includes four short double-helical elements and three loops (D, anti-codon, and T loops). Further hydrogen bonds mediate the characteristic L-shaped molecular structure. tRNAs have two regions of fundamental functional importance: the anti-codon, which is responsible for specific mRNA codon recognition, and the 3' end, to which the tRNAs corresponding amino acid is attached (by aminoacyl-tRNA synthetases). tRNAs cope with the degeneracy of the genetic code in two manners: having more than one tRNA (with a specific anti-codon) for a particular amino acid; and 'wobble' base-pairing, i.e. permitting non-standard base-pairing at the 3rd anti-codon position. The record is from Rfam by way of RNAcentral. RNAcentral also lists the same sequence under 1 other name. Lineage: Eukaryota; Metazoa; Chordata; Mammalia; Rodentia; Sciuridae.